CCGCGUUGCUGUGGCUGUGGCAUAGGCCGGCGGCACAGCUCCCUUUCGAACCCUCGCCUGGGAACCUCCCUCCAUAUCCCGCGGAUGCAGCUACAAAAAGCAAAUAAAUAAAUAAAUGCUUACUUAUUAUCUUUGUAAAUUAGUGGGGAGAAAAAGCCAUUUCCAUAUGGGAACCCCAAGGACCCAGGCCUGGGGACCCUGAGCAAAUCAAUGGGGCACAGCACGUGGCUCACUGCCCUGCGCGUCCCCAGAGAGGAAGGACCAUUCUGGACGGUUUCUUGGUCCCCGGUCCCCGGACAGUACUCGCACCAGGACCGCUGCCAGGGCCUGGAGAGAGCGGAUCCAGCGUCCCAGCUCCGGAUCCAGCUUCCCAGCUCCGAGGCUCCUCAGACAGAAGAGGGCGGGGCCUCGUUCUUCCCUCCUGCCCCCAGGCUGCCAGGCUGCGUUUCAUAGUUUGAUUGAAAGUGUGCCAUCCCGUCUGUCUCUCCGCAAACAAAUGGAAUAUUCUGAGCUUCCAGCAUUUGGAGGCACACAGCUUGCAUCUUUUCCUGAAGAAAAAUAAAUAGCAUGUGUGGUUAACAACCGAGUCCUGAUGGAGAAAACAAUGCUGCCGACCAGAAGCCCUUGCGCAACCGGGGCCGCAGACGCCAGGCAGGUAGCUGAGCUUCAACUCCUCUGCAAUGCCAAGUCCAUCCACUGUCAGAAGACCCCUCCUCCUCUGCCACCAGCUCACCCACACCCAUCCAGGACCCUGGCUUGCAGGGCUGUCCAUGUCUGUUUACAAACCGCAGGAGAGAAAGCGGCUCAAGGCAUAGGUCAAGCUGCAGAGCUUUUUGGAACAAGGGGUUUAAAACCUACCUUUUUUUGGAAUAAUCCCAGCUCCCAACUCUGGGAGAAACAAAUACAAACCAGAAUUCUCUGGCUGCGGUCUGUCUGAAUAUCUGGACACUUUUCCCAGCAUGUGACAUCCUCUUCCGUCCAGACUUCAAGGUUAAAAAUAGCCUGGCAAACCCUUUGAACUAUUGUCUCUUUCAAACACAAUAUGGAUUGUAUGUGUGUUUACCACUUGGAAGAAACGCUUUGUGACACAAGACAUGCUGACAGGGUGUUUCAGGCUAAGGGUGGAGGAGGGUGUCCACGGACUUGUUGAAUUUACACUAAAUACAUACACACACCUGUUCCCACGCACCCAGGCUGCUCCUGCCUGGUACAACCAUUCCCAAGCGGCUGCUAAGACUGUAACAACCCUGUGGGGUGAUCCAAUUGACCAAAACUCAGCAGGAAGCCCCAUUGUCUUCCUCCCUCCAAUAGAUCAGCAAAACGCGUGAUCAGGAAGAUUUUCUCUCUCUCUCUCUCUUUUUUUUUUUUUUUUUUUUUUGGCCACCCUGCGGCAUAUCAAGUUCCCAGGCCAGGGAUAAGAUCCGAGCUGCAGUUGCAACCUAAGCCACAGCUUCAGCAAUGUCAGAUCCUUAACCCACUGUGCUGGACCGGGGAUCGAACUCUCACCCCAGCACUCCCAAGACACUGCCCAUCCCAUUGCGCCACAGCAGGAAAUCUGGGAAGAAUUUUAAGAAGUGGCCAUCUUAAAAUUUCUAACUGCCUUUCUGGUCCCAGCAGAUUUUUGUUCAAGAAAGAAUCACUAGGUAACCUUCUCUCUUUAAAGGCCCUGGGCCUUAAGAAAGGCCUCUCCUUCUAGAACCACUCUCCAUGCAGAGGUGGCUGCUGGCAGGACCUGAGAACCUUUGCUGUGGAGCCAGAACGCCUCCCUGGGAGCACAGGGGUGGGGAACUGGCCUGAGUUUUUGAGGUUCACAAUCCUAGAGCCUCUUGGUUGGACUGGAACAUUCUGGCCAUGGUCAGCUGGCAGGACAGGAGCAAGAGCUUCUCAGAAAAUGGGCAUUUGACUGGCAAAGCCAGCCCCACACCAGGUGCAGCUGU
RNAcentral lists this long non-coding RNA (1937 nucleotides) under Sus scrofa (pig). RNAcentral describes it as "lncRNA (ENSSSCG00030073758.1)". The record is from RNAcentral. Lineage: Eukaryota; Metazoa; Chordata; Mammalia; Artiodactyla; Suidae.